UGCCAGCCGCCGCGGUAAUACGAAGGGUGCUAGCGUUGUUCGGAAUUACUGGGCGUAAAGAGCAUGUAGGCGGAUGAAUUAGUCAGAGGUGAAAGCCCCGAGCUCAACUUGGGAACUGCCUUUGAAACUACAAGACUAGAAUAGGUCAGAGGGGGGUAGAAUUCCACGUGUAGCAGUGAAAUGCGUAGAGAUGUGGAGGAAUACCAAUGGCGAAGGCAGCCCCCUGGGAUCAUAUUGACGCUCAUGCACGAAAGCGUGGGGAGCGAACAGGAUUAGAUA
RNAcentral lists this ribosomal RNA (279 nucleotides) under uncultured bacterium. RNAcentral's name for it is "partial 16S ribosomal RNA". It matches the Rfam family "Bacterial small subunit ribosomal RNA", at positions 506 to 784 of the family's 1533-position model. The record is from RNAcentral.